UGACAUGGAGCCUGUUGGAAUAGGGCC
This 27-nucleotide non-coding RNA is filed under the name Mus musculus (house mouse). The record is from RNAcentral. Lineage: Eukaryota; Metazoa; Chordata; Mammalia; Rodentia; Muridae.